RNAcentral lists this ribosomal RNA (380 nucleotides) under uncultured bacterium. Its description in RNAcentral is "bacterial SSU rRNA". It matches the Rfam family "Bacterial small subunit ribosomal RNA", at positions 790 to 1167 of the family's 1533-position model. The record is from RNAcentral.
GUAGUCCGCACUGUAAACGAUGGAUGCUAGCCGUUGGGGGGUUACCCUUCAGUGGCGCAGCUAACGCGUUAAGCAUCCCGCCUGGGGAGUACGGUCGCAAGAUUAAAACUCAAAGGAAUUGACGGGGACCCGCACAAGCGGUGGAACAUGUGGUUUAAUUCGAGGCAACGCGAAGAACCUUACCAGGCCUUGACAUGCCCUCUAUGAUUUACAGAAAUGUAUUUCUUCACUUCGGGUGGGAGGAGCACAGGUGCUGCAUGGCUGUCGUCAGCUCGUGUCGUGAGAUGUUGGGUUAAGUCCCGCAACGAGCGCAACCCUCGUCCUCUGUUGCUAACAGGUUAUGCUGAGCACUCUGAGGAAACUGCCGGUGAUAAGCCGGA